Molecule: unclassified non-coding RNA, 210 nt
Filed under: soil metagenome
Description: partial contains 5.8S ribosomal RNA, internal transcribed spacer 2, and large subunit ribosomal RNA
Source: RNAcentral
AACCUUAUGGACCUGCGGGCGUAUACCUGCGGAAGGAUCAUUACCGAGUUUACAACUCCCAAACCCCUGUGAACAUACCAAUUGUUGCCUCGGCGGAUCAGCCCGCUCCCGGUAAAACGGGACGGCCCGCCAGAGGACCCCUAAACUCUGUUUCUAUAUGUAACUUCUGAGUAAAACCAUAAAUAAAUCAAAACUUUCAACAAUGGAUCU